Long non-coding RNA from Nerophis ophidion (straightnose pipefish), 1186 nucleotides. RefSeq lists it as uncharacterized. The transcript is spliced from 3 exons. The record is from RefSeq and is a predicted model, not a curated record. Lineage: Eukaryota; Metazoa; Chordata; Actinopteri; Syngnathiformes; Syngnathidae.
GGAAGCAUAAAAUCCAGUAGUGGGCUGCUUCCAGGAAGAGCGCGAGGGACGUUGCUGCAGGAGCCAACUACUAAAGCCGUGGGUCGUCUUGCGAGAGUGUUAAGUGUGAUUUAUCUGCGGAAUUGGCCAUGUUGAAUGGUGAGCUAGAGCCUGAACUAGAGUCUGAAGCUUUAUGCCUGGAACCAAACCAACCGAACUGAAUCCACCCAACCGAGCCCCGGGCGGGUAGGAGGCUCCUCAGCAGCCGCUCUGUUUUUUCCCUUUGGUUUUUCAUAACGCAACGAGUUCAUUUAUGUCAUCCUGAACUUUCACAUUUUCCCUGUUACAUUCAUUAAAACCCCUCUGGACACUGCCACCACAACGUGGACUUUGCGAGGUCAUUUAAUGAACUGUCGUGUUGCGCUUAUACCAUUCUUGGUAAAAACAAGGACUGAAUAAAGUACUGUAUCACAUUGUAAAUAUUGAACGUUCUGUAAUUUAUGUUGAAAAUGUGAAUGGCCAUUUGAAUUUACAUGUCUGUUUGUUGUUUAUUUUUCCUAUAAUUCUUUAAUAUAAUUUGGUACCAUUUAAACUUAAAACCUGUCUUCAGUCUUCAUUACACUCAUUCCUAGAGCUGAAUUUAGUUUCUUCUGAUCUAGCCCAGUUAUAUAAUUCAUUGUUUACUUAAUACUUGUACACUGCUGCUGGAAUUUUUAUUUUCCUGAGGGAACUCUACUGAAGGAAUCAAUAAAGUACAAUCUAUCUAUUUUUGUACACUGUUGAGGUGAUUCAAUACGAAGUAGUGCGCAAGUGUGUUUUGUUUACUAUCUCCAGCCGUGGUCAUGUGGUGACAUUAAUUAUCAUAUUUUGAGAGGUAUUUAUCGAAGUCGAACAAAGUAGGAUAACAGUGAAAGCCUAGGUGGGAAACGCCACUGAUCUAUCUUUUUCUUCCUGACGCCACCGUUUCUUUUUUAUUUCAGCCAGAGUUCAGUUCUCGGAGACAGGGCAAUGACAUGAAUCACUCUGCUGUACACUUGAAACUGGUGACUUUUCCAGGGUGUACUCCGUCUUCCACGCAAGUACAGCUGGGAUAGGCUCCAGCACCCCCCCGACCUCAAAGGAAGAAGCGGUAGAAAAAGGAUGGAUGGAUACUGUGUGUGCAUAUUUACAAACACAUUAUCAGCUUGUUUUCUUUGUUUUCAUUGUU